GACGAACGCUGGCGGCGUGCUUAACACAUGCAAGUCGAACGGAAAGGCCCUGCUUUUGUGGGGUGCUCGAGUGGCGAACGGGUGAGUAACACGUGAGUAACCUGCCCUUGACUUUGGGAUAACUUCAGGAAACUGGGGCUAAUACCGUAUAGGAGCUCCUGCUGCAUGGUGGGGGUUGGAAAGUUUCGGCGGUUGGGGAUGGACUCGCGGCUUAUCAGCUUGUUGGUGGGGUAGUGGCUUACCAAGGCUUUGACGGGUAGCCGGCCUGAGAGGGUGACCGGCCACAUUGGGACUGAGAGACGGACCAGACUCCUACGGGAGGCAGCAGUGGGGAAUAUUGCACAAUGGGCGGAAGCCUGAUGCAGAAACGCCGCGUGCGGGAUGACGGCCUUCGGGUUGUAAACCGCUUUCGCCUGUGACGAAGCGGGAGUGACGGUAAUGGGUAAAGAAGCACCGGCUAACUACGUG
RNAcentral lists this ribosomal RNA (468 nucleotides) under uncultured bacterium. RNAcentral describes it as "partial 16S ribosomal RNA". It matches the Rfam family "Bacterial small subunit ribosomal RNA", at positions 28 to 507 of the family's 1533-position model. The record is from RNAcentral.